UGGGAUUUAGCUCAGUGGCACAGUGCCUGCCUCAUAAGCAUGAGGUCCUGAGUUCUAUCCCUGAUACCUAA
This 71-nucleotide transfer RNA is filed under the name Fukomys damarensis (Damara mole-rat). It matches the Rfam family "tRNA". Rfam says of the family: Transfer RNA (tRNA) molecules are approximately 80 nucleotides in length. Their secondary structure includes four short double-helical elements and three loops (D, anti-codon, and T loops). Lineage: Eukaryota; Metazoa; Chordata; Mammalia; Rodentia; Bathyergidae. The record is from Rfam by way of RNAcentral.